RNAcentral lists this ribosomal RNA (502 nucleotides) under uncultured Glomeromycotina. RNAcentral describes it as "partial small subunit ribosomal RNA". It matches the Rfam family "Eukaryotic small subunit ribosomal RNA", at positions 591 to 1092 of the family's 1831-position model. Lineage: Eukaryota; Fungi; Glomeromycota. The record is from RNAcentral.
CCAAUAGCGUAUAUUAAAGUUGUUGCAGUUAAAAAGCUCGUAGUUGAACUUCGGGGUUUACCCAUUGGUCAGGCUUAACUGUCUGCACUGGUGAGAUAAAUCUCUACCUUCUGAGGAACCUUCAUGCCAUUUAUUUGAUGUGCUGGGAAAUCAGGACUGUUACUUUGAGAAAAUUAGAGUGUUUAAAGCAGGCUAAAGUCUGAAUACAUUAGCAUGGAAUAACGUAAUAGGACGGAUUGGUUCUAUUUCGUUGGUUUCUAGGAUCACCGUAAUGAUUAAUAGGGAUAGUUGGGGGCAUUAGUAUUCAAUUGUCAGAGGUGAAAUUCUUGGAUUUAUUGAAGACUAACUACUGCGAAAGCAUUUGCCAAGGAUGUUUUCAUUAAUCAAGAACGAAAGUUAGGGGAUCGAAGACGAUCAGAUACCGUCGUAGUCUUAACCAUAAACUAUGCCGACUAGGGAUCGGACGAAGUUAAUUUUAUAAUGACGCGUUCGGCACCUUACG